RNAcentral lists this ribosomal RNA (492 nucleotides) under uncultured soil bacterium. Its description in RNAcentral is "bacterial SSU rRNA". It matches the Rfam family "Bacterial small subunit ribosomal RNA", at positions 26 to 521 of the family's 1533-position model. The record is from RNAcentral.
AGAUUGAACGCUGGCGGCAGGCCUAACACAUGCAAGUCGAGCGGUAGAGAGGUGCUUGCACCUCUUGAGAGCGGCGGACGGGUGAGUAAUGCCUAGGAAUCUGCCUAGUGGUGGGGGAUAACGUUCGGAAACGGACGCUGAUACCGCAUACGUCCUACGGGAGAAAGCGGGGGACCUUCGGGCCUCGCGCCAUUAGAUGAGCCUAGGUCGGAUUAGCUAGUUGGUGAGGUAAUGGCUCACCAAGGCGACGAUCCGUAACUGGUCUGAGAGGAUGAUCAGUCACACUGGAACUGAGACACGGUCCAGACUCCUACGGGAGGCAGCAGUGGGGAAUAUUGGACAAUGGGCGAAAGCCUGAUCCAGCCAUGCCGCGUGUGUGAAGAAGGUCUUCGGAUUGAAAGCAUUUAAGUUGGAGAAGGUUGUAACUUAAUACGUUGCAAUUUGACUUACGACAGAAUAAGCAACCGGCUAACUCGUGCCAGCAGCCGUACG